This is a non-coding RNA of Cavia porcellus (domestic guinea pig), 70 nucleotides long. Lineage: Eukaryota; Metazoa; Chordata; Mammalia; Rodentia; Caviidae. The record is from Rfam.
GGAGGUUUAGCUUAGCGGCAUAAGCGCCUGCCUUGUAAGCAGGCAAUCGCCAGUUCGAUCCCUGGUACCA